GAUGAACGCUGGCGGCGUGCCUAAUACAUGCAAGUCGAGCGAACAGACGAGGAGCUUGCUCCUCUGACGUUAGCGGCGGACGGGUGAGUAACACGUGGAUAACCUACCUAUAAGACUGGGAUAACUUCGGGAAACCGGAGCUAAUACCGGAUAAUAUAUUGAACCGCAUGGUUCAAUAGUGAAAGACGGUUUUGCUGUCACUUAUGGAUGGAUCCGCGCCGCAUUAGCCAGUUGGUAAGGUAACGGCUUACCAAGGCAACGAUGCGUAGCCGACCUGAGAGGGGGCUCGGCCACACUGGAACUGGGACACGGCCCAGACUCCUACGGGGGGCAGCAGUGGGAAAUCUUCCGCAAUGGGCGAAAGCUUGACGGAGCAACGCCGCGUGGGUGAUGAAGGUCUUCGGAUCGUAAAACUCUUUUAUUAGGGAAGAACAAAUGUGUAAGUAACUAUGCACUUUUUGACGGUACCUAAUCAGAAAGCCACGGCUAACUCCGG
This 496-nucleotide ribosomal RNA is filed under the name uncultured bacterium. RNAcentral's name for it is "partial 16S ribosomal RNA". It matches the Rfam family "Bacterial small subunit ribosomal RNA", at positions 28 to 506 of the family's 1533-position model. The record is from RNAcentral.